GUCGUCGUGGCCGAGUGGUUAAGGCGACAGACUAGAAAUCUGUUGGGCUCUGCCCGCACAGAUUCGAAUCCUGUCGGCGACG
Ciona savignyi (Pacific transparent sea squirt) is the source of this 82-nucleotide non-coding RNA. The record is from Rfam. NCBI's taxonomy places the organism in Eukaryota, Metazoa, Chordata, Ascidiacea, Phlebobranchia, Cionidae.